This 262-nucleotide unclassified non-coding RNA is filed under the name Hevea brasiliensis (rubber tree). The record is from RNAcentral. Lineage: Eukaryota; Viridiplantae; Streptophyta; Magnoliopsida; Malpighiales; Euphorbiaceae.
GUUCCACCGGGUCGAAAACACCUAGCCAACCUGUGAGACUUAGACAGUAAAAAAGUCCACUGCAGAAAACAAUCUUGUUCCAAAUACUACUAACAAAAGGCAAGCGAUUUUGAUAAUUAACAGUAACCCAUUCAGUUGCCCCAGGAUGACAAGUGCUGAUAGCAACAACUGUGGGACUGAUGUGCUUAACUGUAAAAACAAUGCAGCUGGUAGAUGUUGGAGAAGACGAGAAAGCAACUAUCUGAUAAGUCAAUUCAAAUCU